GGAGCUUUCGUAUAUCGGUCAGUACGUGAGAUUCUGAAUUGCUUACGUAAUCACGCACGUGGCACAAAGUUUCGUUCUCGAAAGGUGGGUUCGAUUCCCUCAAGCUCCU
Molecule: transfer RNA, 109 nt
Filed under: Kwoniella dejecticola CBS 10117
Lineage: Eukaryota; Fungi; Basidiomycota; Tremellomycetes; Tremellales; Cryptococcaceae
Rfam family: tRNA
About the family: Transfer RNA (tRNA) molecules are approximately 80 nucleotides in length. Their secondary structure includes four short double-helical elements and three loops (D, anti-codon, and T loops). Further hydrogen bonds mediate the characteristic L-shaped molecular structure. tRNAs have two regions of fundamental functional importance: the anti-codon, which is responsible for specific mRNA codon recognition, and the 3' end, to which the tRNAs corresponding amino acid is attached (by aminoacyl-tRNA synthetases). tRNAs cope with the degeneracy of the genetic code in two manners: having more than one tRNA (with a specific anti-codon) for a particular amino acid; and 'wobble' base-pairing, i.e. permitting non-standard base-pairing at the 3rd anti-codon position.
Source: Rfam by way of RNAcentral